UUGCUUGGUGCACAGCCUGCACCGGAAGGACACUGUUGACAUCCCGGAUGCAUCAUCUGCGGCUGCGCCAUGGACCACAUCCGGUCCCAAUCUGACUCGGAAACCUCAGGGAUGCUUUGAUGUGCACCUGACACUGUCUUUCAGAGCUCUGUUUUUUGACACUGCUUGCUACACUGAACUUGAUGUUGCCAUCUCGUCUGUCUGCAUGAAAAGGGAAUGUAGCGUGCGCACAGGAGAGGCAGCGUGGAUCUCAAACUCCAAAGAUGAUGAAACAGAGCCCACACCUGGACCGACUGAGAAGGUCUGGCACCACAGUGACAAGCCGGCACCACCCGACUUGAAGGGCUCCGCAGGUCGCUACCCUGCGCGUUUUGAGGGGAGUCCUCAGCGGACAGAAAACUGGAGGAUCAGAGGAGUUUUCCCUUCCCCAGCAGCCUCAGCACAAGACGAGAUUUGUGCAAACGAGACCCAGAUGAAAGGAGCUGGGUAAUGAAGUUCAGUUCCUCCUCACCCCGGCACAAUGAUUAGUUUAUUACCUUUCAGCUCCAAGUUUUCUUUCAUGCUCUGCAGCGAAGCCCAGACUCCAGCUUCUUUUGCAGCAAGCAUGGCACUAAACUUGUCAGUAGAGGGCGCUGGAGGGACAUUGCCGAAGGAAACAGUUUCUCUCCCUGGCUCCUGAGAGCUGCCGGGUUUUGCUUCCUCCCAGAGCAGGUUUGAUCCAGCCACGCAUCCGGACUGUGCAGUCUCAGCCCAGGAGCCGCCUCUCUCUGGCCUUCCCGAUGAGGGCGCAGGUGUCCUGUUAUCCCGCAACCCUGCCAACAAAUUCCCUCCCAGACCCCCACACCCUCAGUGCCAGCCCCAAGGCCCGCUUGCACCGCAGUGGUGAUGCUCCGAGAGCUCUUGCGCAGCGCCCUUCACCGUCCUUUGGGCUCCCGGUGCGUCUUCCCUGGUGCCUGUGAAUCCUACCCUCAGGAAACUGCUCUCCACGGUGCCGCUUCCCUGGGUCCUGUCCUAAAUCCUCUCCGCUCAUGCCCCCUCAGACGGGGGCAUCAGCUAAUACCAGCUGUUGGUUUUUGUAAAUAAAGAUUUAU
Molecule: long non-coding RNA, 1091 nt
Filed under: Chinchilla lanigera (long-tailed chinchilla)
Lineage: Eukaryota; Metazoa; Chordata; Mammalia; Rodentia; Chinchillidae
Description: lncRNA (ENSCLAG00000027167.1)
Source: RNAcentral